GGAGCAGGCGAGACGAUCGCGGCAUUUACGUGCUGAGGAAAGUCCGAGCUUCAAAGAGCAAGGUGCCUCCGAAAUGGAGGGCGGAGUGAUCCGACGGAAAGUGCAGCAGAGAGGAGACCGCCGACGACCCCUCGGGGUCGGGCAAGGGUGAAACGGUGGUGUAAGAGACCACCAGAGGCAUGAGUAAUCAUGUCUGCUUGGUAAACCCCACCUGAAGCAAGGUCAAAUAGGCAGGGAGGUGUUGCUCGCACCGCAUGACCUGCGGGUAGACCGCUUGGGCAAAAGGAAACUUUUGCUGUAGAUGGAUGAUCGUCGCCCAAUUGGGUUACAGAACUCGGCUUAUUGCCUGCUACGGCG
RNAcentral lists this RNase P RNA (357 nucleotides) under Candidatus Zixiibacteriota bacterium. RNAcentral's name for it is "RNase P RNA component class A". It matches the Rfam family "Bacterial RNase P class A". From Rfam's summary of the family: Ribonuclease P (RNase P) is a ubiquitous endoribonuclease, found in archaea, bacteria and eukarya as well as chloroplasts and mitochondria. Its best characterised activity is the generation of mature 5'-ends of tRNAs by cleaving the 5'-leader elements of precursor-tRNAs. Lineage: Bacteria; Pseudomonadati; Candidatus Zixiibacteriota. The record is from RNAcentral.